GGGGGCACCCUGACCGAGCAACGCCGCGUGAGUGAAGAAGGUUUUCGGAUCGUAAAGCUCUGUUGUAAGUCAAGAACGAGUGUGAGAGUGGAAAGUUCACACUGUGACGGUAGCUUACCAGAAAGGGACGGCUAACUACGUGCCAGCAGCCGCGGUAAUACGUAGGUCCCGAGCGUUGUCCGGAUUUAUUGGGCGUAAAGCGAGCGCAGGCGGUUUGAUAAGUCUGAGGUUAAAGGCUGUGGCUCAACCAUAGUUCGCUUUGGAAACUGUCAAACUUGAGUGCAGAAGGGGAGAGUGGAAUUCCAUGUGUAGCGGUGAAAUGCGUAGAUAUAUGGAGGAACGCCGGUGGCGAAAGCGGCUCUCUGGUCUGUAACUGACGCUGAGGCUCGAAAGCGUGGGGAGCGAACAGGAUUAGAUACCCUGGUAGUCCACGCCGUAAACGAUGAGUGCUAGGUGUUGGAUCCUUUCCGGGAUUCAGUGCCGCAGCUAACGCAUUAAGCACUCCGCCUGGGGAGUACGACCGCAAGGUUGAAACUCAAAGGAAUUGACGGGGGCCCGCACAAGCGGUGGAGCAUGUGGUUUAAUUCGAAGCAACGCGAAGAACCUUACCAGGUCUUGACAUCCCGAUGCUAUUUCUAGAGAUAGAAAGUGACUUCGGUACAUCGGUGACAGGUGGUGCAUGG
This 683-nucleotide ribosomal RNA is filed under the name Streptococcus salivarius. RNAcentral describes it as "bacterial SSU rRNA". It matches the Rfam family "Bacterial small subunit ribosomal RNA", at positions 374 to 1048 of the family's 1533-position model. Lineage: Bacteria; Bacillati; Bacillota; Bacilli; Lactobacillales; Streptococcaceae. The record is from RNAcentral.